UGGGGAAUUUUGGACAAUGGGCGAAAGCCUGAUCCAGCAAUGCCGCGUGUGUGAAGAAGGCCUUCGGGUUGUAAAGCACUUUUGUCCGGAAAGAAAUCCUUGGCUCUAAUACAGUCGGGGGAUGACGGUACCGGAAGAAUAAGCACCGGCUAACUACGUGCCAGCAGCCGCGGUAAUACGUAGGGUGCAAGCGUUAAUCGGAAUUACUGGGCGUAAAGCGUGCGCAGGCGGUUUGCUAAGACCGAUGUGAAAUCCCCGGGCUCAACCUGGGAACUGCAUUGGUGACUGGCAGGCUAGAGUAUGGCAGAGGGGGGUAGAAUUCCACGUGUAGCAGUGAAAUGCGUAGAGAUGUGGAGGAAUACCGAUGGCGAAGGCAGCCCCCUGGGCCAAUACUGACGCUCAUGCACGAAAGCGUGGGGAGCAAACAGGAUUAGAUACCCUGGUAGUCCACGCCCUAAACGAUGUCAACUAGUUGUCGGGUCUUCAUUGACUUGGUAACGUAGCUAACGCGUGAAGUUGACCGCCUGGGAGUACGGUCGCAAGAUUAAAACUCAAAGGAAUUGAC
RNAcentral lists this ribosomal RNA (565 nucleotides) under uncultured bacterium. RNAcentral describes it as "partial 16S ribosomal RNA". It matches the Rfam family "Bacterial small subunit ribosomal RNA", at positions 355 to 914 of the family's 1533-position model. The record is from RNAcentral.